UCCAGAUUCUGUCUCCCUUUCUCUCUGCCCCUCCCCACCUUACACUCUGUCUCUGUCUGUCUCAAAAAUAAAUAAACAUUAAAAAUCUUUUUAAAAAAACAAACAAAAAAUCUUAACUCUAACUCUCCAAGAUGCAAAUCCCUCCUGCUUCCCCCUCCCCCCUUUUUUCCCCACUGGGCCAUGUUUAUAAUCUAAAAUCCCAAUUGCAGCUAAAAAAUUGAUAUAACUCGUACCCUGGAACCUGAUUACCUAAAGCACAAAAGUAUUCAUUCCAUUAGUUAGUUUACUAACUAGUUUGCUGAAUUGUGGUUUGUGUCUUGUGUAUUUUAUUAAAAGAAACUUAAAGAAAAAAAUGCUAAAGAGAACUUACACUGGGUCUAUAAGAAAAAAAGUCUGGAUCUUAACAAGCAAUUUUGUAAUUGUCUUUGACUCAAGGUGGCUGCAAAAUGCUUACAAUACACAUGUGCAUACUUAACUCAUGUAAGACAAAAACCCUUUGUUCCUCAAGUUCUUAAAAAAAAGGUGUGAUGUUCAUUUGCUACACCCCCCCCCCAUUUUUUUUUAACUUGGCUUACACUCUUAACUGGCAGUUUGCAAAAGGAGGAAACUUAGCAACCUACUCGACAAAGUUUAGAAUAGCUUCAAUUAAAAGUCAUCUAAAAAUAAAAAUAAAACCUCCUUUUCUUUUCUAAGAGCAAAUUUAAAUACUUGGGUGUCACUUAUGCUACCAUGCUUCUAUGAUGUUUGUCUGCCUAUAAAGUGCUCUAUUAAAUAAGUCAGAUAUAUUUUUUAAAUUUAAAAUCUCUUUUAGACUCCACCAAAAUCUCUUUUAAGGAGUCCUUGAGAGCCUAGCAGGAGAGUUAACAAGGUUAUUCUGGUAACUGAUCUAAAUUAUCAUCAGUGGGAAUUAAAUAAAAGGAAUCCACAGAUCAAAUAUCUGACUAUCAAAAGGCAAUCACAGAAUUUUAUACAGAUCUAGGGUACUUAUAAAGUUAUUGACCCAGGGGGCUUGUGAAGAGUGGUAAGCUUUCUUGUAUGGAUUGAAGCCAUGCGAUACAGUGCAAAAUUCUGCAUGAUGCUAAAAGUAGUUACCCCUGAGCAAAAAAAAAAUUAAAACUAGGGUACAAGGGACAAAAUCCAACCAAAAUAAGUAAAAUAUGAGAAAGAAUUAAAUUUGUUGAUAAUUUCGUUGUAUGGGUGAAUGAUGAUGAAUAAGAUAAUAGGUAAUCUUGAGUCACUCAACUUUUUUUAAAAUUUCUUUUCAAUGUUUAUUUAUUUUUGAGAGAGAAACAGAGCACAAGCAGGGGAAGGGCAGAGAGGGAGACACAGAAUCUGACGCAGGCUCCAGGCUCUGAGCUGUCAGCACAGAGCCGGAUGCGGGGCUUGAACCCAUGAGCAGUGAGAUCAUGACCUGAGGCAAAGUCGGAGGCUUAACCGACUGAGUCACGCAGGUGCCUCUUAAGCCACUCAACUUCUAAAAUUAGAAGUCUGCAAGUAGCAAGGCAAAACAAAGUUCUGUACAUACUGGCUGUCUGAUAUCCCAAGUGACAUCUCAAGUUCUGUGAAUAGAGUAAACUUUCCUUCUUACCCAAGACAGUGAGGUCCAUAGAACAUUUUUAUGAUGAUGGAAAUGUUUAAUAUCUGCACUAUCCACUAUCCAACAGUCACACACAGGUAGUGAGCACUGGAAAUGUGACAGUAUAACUGAAGACCUUUGUUUUUACUUAUAGUUAAUUUUAUUAAUUUAAAUAUAAGUUUAAAUAGCUACACAUGGCUAGUGGCUAACAUAUGGGACAGUGUAUUUUCAAAAUUAUAAAAAACAUAAUAAAUACCUAAUUCUAUGAACAUAUUUCUAUUACUUUAUUUCUUUUUUCUUUUUUGAAUGUUUACUUAUUUUUGAGAGAGAGAGAGACAGACAGACAGAGCGAGCUGGGGAGGAGCAGAGAGAGAGAGGGAGACACAGAAUCUGAAGCAGGCUCCAGGCUCCGAGCUGUCAGCACAGAGUCCGCGGGGUUCAGAACUCUCAAGCUGUGAACCUGAGCCAAAGUUGCACAUUUAACUGACCAAGCCACCCAGGCGCCCCUCUAUUUCUUUAAAUCUUGCUCAAAAUAGUAUAUAUUAUCACUUUAUUUAAUAUUGUAAAAUAUCAUUGAAUAGAUCACAUACUAACCUUGGUUUUCUCACUAUAUGUUUAUCUGGUCAAAACUAUUAAGUUUGUUAACUCUUACUUGGAGAAGCUAUCAAGGUAUCAGAACAGUGAGAAAAAGAAAACCACCUUUUCCACAAAACUGAGUGUACACAGUAAGAACCAAUGAAAGGUCCAUCUCUUAAAUUAUUUUCAGAAUCUCCCUGAGGACAUUGUGAGUCUUGCCUUUUUCGGAGUCCAUUUAUUUCACCUUGAUAGUUCUUGCACCUUUUGCCUUAUAUAAUGCCUAAGACCAGGCAACUUCUCUCUUAAUUGCCUCAGGGUGAGUAGGUCCUUUCCUUUCCUAACAGUACUCUCUAGAAUAUGGGAGUCAAAGGCACAGUGAGCUGACUGACCCCUUACUGUAACCCUUGAUGGCUGUCAAGAUUGACAUUGACAGGUGCCUCUUUUGUUUCAGUGCUUUCCUAUGCUCCGGCUUGAUUUUUUUAAAAAUACUUAUUUAUUUUUGAGAAAGAGAGGAAGAGAGAGGGAGAGAGCGGGGAGGGACAAAGAGAGAGGGGGACAGAGGAUCUGAAGUGGGCUCCACACUAACAGCAGAAAGCCCGAUGCAGGGCUCGAACUCACAAACCUUGAGAUCAUGACCUGAGCCGAAGUCAGAUGCUGAACCGUCUGAACCACCCAGGCGCCCCUUGGCUUGAUUCUUUGACUCCGGUUUCCCCACUUCUACUCCCUCUUUCUUUCACCCUGCUGGUGGGAUUUCCCCAAGACUUACUACUGGAUUAUGCAGACAAAUACAUGGGAUUAUAGAAAGGAAGCAGACUCACGUUUGGUGCUCAUUUCAUGGAAAAAAGCAACCUGGUGAACUUCUUUCCAUUUUCUUACAGACUAAGCCUCUGUUUAAGAUACCAUUGAUUAAUACUUAAGCACUUAUGUUUCAAUUGUUGCUCUGCUUCCAGAAUAAGCAAAAAAUUACCCAUUUCUCUGAAGACUGCAUACUUUUCCAGGCAAAAGAAGUGUGCUUCCUUAGAUAUUUAAAGGCUUCAUCUUUCUUGAAGGCCACUGUGCUGCAGCUUUUCAACACUCAGGAUGGGGAAGAACAGAAAUUGUUCAGUAGUGCUGCAACUUCCCUCCACUGGAAACUUGGACUUCCACAAAGGCCUUCCUGUCCAUAGAUGAUGGUCUAUGAGGUGUUUUCCAGGGAUUCCCAGACUGUAGCCAUGAGGGGCUAGAGUGGUUUACAGGCCACUACAGGACCCACAACUGGAACUGAGGUCUGUAUGCCUAUUACCUGACCCACAGGUGGGUGAGACUCCCUCAGGUCCCUUAGUGAAUUGUGCCAUUUGCACAGUUCCCCACAAAGGCACUCUUGUCUGUGGAUGGAUGCCUAAUUGUUGUCAUUAGGAGGAGAUAGAAAUAUGAAUGAGAAAUGUCUUAUUUAAGCUGUCCCUGUGUUAAAAAAGUUUAGGGACCAUGCAUACUUUUUUUUUUUUAUCCCUAUAUUUAACAAUGCUGAGAAUAAGAAUAAAAAUAACUUAGCUGCUUACUCCAGGAAAUGCCUUCUCCUGAAAGAAAAGACUCUGAACCAGCAAAAGUAGCUUGCUCAUCAAAACUCACUUCAAGACCCUUGCUUCACUGGGCCCACCAAUCCAAUUAAACACUACCUGAUCCCAAGUAAUUCCUUGCCUUACCUCUCCAGACUCAAAAAUCAUCCAACUCAGGCCCUAAAACACUAAUAAAUAUCAUUCCCGAAUUUACCCAUUUUGAGACACUACUAAAGCUCUGCUAAAUUGGUAUUCUUCCUUGGCUUUACUUGGCCAACUGGUUAUUCUGGUGGCCUUUUAGGGAAGCUGACACCUGAGAAUGAGACAGUGUACCCUCUGAAGAACCUGGUUCUACAGUGAGUUGACAAAAUGAGAAUGUUGUCAUUCCAGGAAAAAAAUUGAGCUCUUUACUAGUUUAGCCACUGACAGCAUGGAAAGUCAAAUUCCUCCAACAGAAUCAUAAAUCUCGGGAUUCAAGAAGGCUUGAAAUUUAUCUAGUUCAAUCCAUCUGCUUGGUACAGAUGGAGAAGAAGCUCAAAUUUGAGCUCAAAUUAGAGUAAAUUUUAGAGACUCCUUCAGUACAACAAAGAGUUUUGGGAUUCCUCUCUACUCUCUUAUCUUCCCUUUUCAAUCUCUUCUUUUCCCCAGCCUUAGGACACCUUGUCCCUGGUUUUCCUCUUUGCAGACAGCUAGAGAAAAGAUCAGGCCUCCAUUGUGUUUUGGUGGAGGGUGUCUGUGUUGCCACAGGGCUUGGUGCUGGGUGUUUCCAACAAAAAUGUAUUUUUAAAAUACCUCCCAUUCCAGGAAGCUAAAAUCUGGUUUCUAUUAUCUGAAAGGCCUCAUUAAAAGAUAAAUAUUGUCAUAUAUGCACCCGUAUUUUUGAAGCUGAAGGAAACUGACGGUUAAAUUUUGGGAGUUCAAUCUCAUAAACAAUGGAACAGGCUUUCUAGUAGUGUAGUCCUUCAGAUCUGCUGCAUUCUGAGAACUCUAGAAGAACUGAGGGAAAAAAAAGUAUUUUGUCUUGUCUUUACUAGAAAAAUAACUAGAUGGGAGGGUUCUGGAUUAGAGGUUUUUUUUGAACAUUUGUCUUUUAGCUAAUUUAUCCUUUUAAAAAUGUGAUUACCAGAUCCUUAGUAUGUGUCAAUUAGCUUGAGAUGUCAUUGACUUGAAAUAAAAAAUAUAUUUGAUAUA
This is a long non-coding RNA of Felis catus (domestic cat), 4878 nucleotides long. RefSeq lists it as uncharacterized. The record is from RefSeq and is a predicted model, not a curated record. The transcript has 2 exons. Lineage: Eukaryota; Metazoa; Chordata; Mammalia; Carnivora; Felidae.